GGCAGCAGUGGGGAAUAUUGCACAAUGGGCGAAAGCCUGAUGCAGCAACGCCGCGUGAGUGAUGAAGGCCUUCGGGUCGUAAAACUCUGUCCUCAAGGAAGAUAAUGACGGUACUUGAGGAGGAAGCCCCGGCUAACUACGUGCCAGCAGCCGCGGUAAUACGUAGGGGGCUAGCGUUAUCCGGAUUUACUGGGCGUAAAGGGGGCGUAGGCGGUCUUUCAAGUCAGGAGUGAAAGGCUACGGCUCAACCGUAGUAAGCUCUUGAAACUGGGAGACUUGAGUGCAGG
RNAcentral lists this ribosomal RNA (287 nucleotides) under Clostridioides difficile. RNAcentral describes it as "partial 16S ribosomal RNA". It matches the Rfam family "Bacterial small subunit ribosomal RNA", at positions 347 to 652 of the family's 1533-position model. Lineage: Bacteria; Bacillati; Bacillota; Clostridia; Peptostreptococcales; Peptostreptococcaceae. The record is from RNAcentral.